GACGAACGCUGGCGGCGUGCUUAACACAUGCAAGUCGAGCGGAGCGGCGAACGGGUGAGUAACGCGUGAGUAACUGCCCCCCUCUCUGGGAUAACAGUUGGAAACGGCAGCUAAUACAGGAUAGUGGGGGAUGACUCGCGGCUGAUCAGCUUGUUGGUCGGGUAGUGGCCGAACACGGCGACGACGCGUAGCCGGCCGUGGAGGGCGACCGGCCAAAUUGGGAUGAGAUACGGCCCAAACUGCUACUGGAGGCAGUAGGGGGGAAUAUUGAACAAUGGUGGAACCCCUCAUGCAGCAACGCUGGUUUGGGAUGAAGGCCUCCGGGUUGUAAACCGCUUUCAGCCAUGACGCGGUAGUGGCAGAAGAAGCACCGGCUAACUACGUGCCAGCAGCCGCGGUAAUAC
RNAcentral lists this ribosomal RNA (404 nucleotides) under uncultured bacterium. RNAcentral describes it as "partial 16S ribosomal RNA". It matches the Rfam family "Bacterial small subunit ribosomal RNA", at positions 28 to 526 of the family's 1533-position model. The record is from RNAcentral.